This 51-nucleotide small RNA is filed under the name Arabidopsis thaliana (thale cress). Its description in RNAcentral is "ATSL026870". The record is from RNAcentral. Lineage: Eukaryota; Viridiplantae; Streptophyta; Magnoliopsida; Brassicales; Brassicaceae.
GUAGAAUUAUAAAUUAGUAUUUGUAACUAUGUUUUUUUUUAGUUUUUUGAA